GUUUUAGCAAUAGAACUUUGAGAGUGGCGCACGGGUGCGUAACACGUAUGCAACCUACCCUUUACUAAGGAAUAGCCUCUCGAAAGAGAGAUUAAUACCUUAUAAUAUGUACUGAAGGCAUCUUUGGUAUCUUAAAGCUGAGGCGGUAAAGGAUGGGCAUGCGGUUGAUUAGCUAGUUGGUGAGGUAAUGGCUCACCAAGGCUUCGAUCAAUAGGGGGUCUGAGAGGAUGUCCCCCCACACUGGUACUGAGACACGGACCAGACUCCUACGGGAGGCAGCAGUAGGGAAUAUUGGACAAUGGGCGCAAGCCUGAUCCAGCCAUGCCGCGUGCAGGAUGAAGGCCCUAUGGGUCGUAAACUGCUUUUGUACGGGAAGAAACUUCAUUACGUGUAAUGAACUGACGGUACCGUGAGAAUAAGGAUCGGCUAACUUCGUGCCAGCAGCCGCGGUAAUACGAAGGAUCCAAGCGUUGUCCGGAUUUACUGGGUUUAAAGGGAGCGUAGGCGGACUUUUAAGUCAGUGGUGAAAGCUUGCAGCUUAACUGUAAAAUUGCCAUUGAAACUGAAAGUCUCGAGUAUGGUUGAGGUAACUGGAAUAUAUCAUGUAGCGGUGAAAUGCUUAGAUAUGAUAUAGAACACCAAUUGCGAAGGCAGGUUACUAAACCAUAACUGACGCUGAGGCUCGAAAGCGUGGGGAUCAAACAGGAUUAGAUACCCUGGUAGUCCACGCCCUAAACGUUGAAUACUCGAUCUUAGCGAUAUACAGUUAGGAUCCAAGCGAAAGCGUUAAGUAUUCCACCU
Molecule: ribosomal RNA, 801 nt
Filed under: uncultured Bacteroidota bacterium
Lineage: Bacteria; Pseudomonadati; Bacteroidota
Description: bacterial SSU rRNA
Rfam family: Bacterial small subunit ribosomal RNA
Source: RNAcentral